ACAUUUCGUGCGGCUUCGAAUUGCGUCUCAGUUUUGGUAUCUGUAAGUUUACAUUCUGUUCGGCUCGAUCGCGUUCGCGAGGGAAACAUUCCGUGUAUUAGUACGCAACGAACCCCAGUCAGGGUCGGUCACAAAGUGUAAAGUGUAAAAUUUCGGUUACGAAGUGUUCUAUAGUGCCGGUUCUAACUUGCAAUGGAAUUUAGGAGAAUGCAGUGGAAACGAUCGGAAUUACGACUUUCGUAGCGAACACCUGUAAAGAGUCGGCUAUUUUAAUACAGUUUUUGUAUCUCCACAAAAGAAUGCGUGGCGUCCAGAUACUAUGUUACCGAUUGACCGAUUUCCCGUGGCGUUAAACACCUGCGUGUGCAUACAUGUGGAAGCAUGGUAACGUGUCGCGUGUCGACACGAGGACAACUAGCCGAUACGCAGCGUCCCUGAUACUGGUGAUGGCGAUGCCGGUGGCGGAGCCGGUACUAGUGGUGGUGGAAGGCAACAUGCCAAACUGUCAGACAGCUAGCGAUGUGCAGCUCGGCUACACGUGUUCACAGGCCCAACUGUAAGCAUCCGUAUGCCAAUACGACGCGGCUCCGACUCACCCUUCGCCCUUUCACCGCCCAAACGCUUUAUACUACGGCUAUUUGAUAACCCUUUAACGUCACUGUGACCUACUAUGCUGCGUUUGCA
Long non-coding RNA from Bombus pyrosoma, 684 nucleotides. RefSeq lists it as uncharacterized. The transcript is spliced from 3 exons. Lineage: Eukaryota; Metazoa; Arthropoda; Insecta; Hymenoptera; Apidae. The record is from RefSeq and is a predicted model, not a curated record.